Molecule: small nucleolar RNA, 130 nt
Filed under: Neotoma lepida (desert woodrat)
Lineage: Eukaryota; Metazoa; Chordata; Mammalia; Rodentia; Cricetidae
Description: Small nucleolar RNA SNORA44
Rfam family: Small nucleolar RNA SNORA44
About the family: ACA44 is a member of the H/ACA class of snoRNA that guide the sites of modification of uridines to pseudouridines.
Source: Rfam by way of RNAcentral
CAGUUCGUUUCCAAGGGCUAUGGCUGGUUGUGGCCAUGGAAUCUCCAACUGCAUGCCAAAGUAACUGGAAUGACUUUGACAGCCCAGACCAGCACAGGGCCUGUAGCUGCCACUCAGCUUUCCUAUAAAU